GACGAACGCUGGCGGCGUGCUUAACACAUGCAAGUCGAACGGAAAGGCCCUGCUUUUGUGGGGUGCUCGAGUGGCGAACGGGUGAGUAACACGUGAGUAACCUGCCCUUGACUUUGGGAUAACUUCAGGAAACUGGGGCUAAUACCGGAUAGGAGCUCCUGCUGCAUGGUGGGGGUUGGAAAGUUUCGGCGGUUGGGGAUGGACUCGCGGCUUAUCAGCUUGUUGGUGGGGUAGUGGCUUACCAAGGCUUUGACGGGUAGCCGGCCUGAGAGGGUGACCGGCCACAUUGGGACUGAGCUACGGCCCAGCCUCCUCCGGGAGGCAGCAGUGGGGAAUAUUGCACAAUGGGCGGAAGCCUGAUGCAGCACCGCCGCGUGCGGGAUGACGGCCUUCGGGUUGUAAACCGCUUUCGCCUGUGACGAAGCGUGAGUGACGGUAAUGGGUAAAGAAGCACCGGCUAACUACGUG
RNAcentral lists this ribosomal RNA (468 nucleotides) under uncultured bacterium. RNAcentral's name for it is "partial 16S ribosomal RNA". It matches the Rfam family "Bacterial small subunit ribosomal RNA", at positions 28 to 507 of the family's 1533-position model. The record is from RNAcentral.